GACGAACGCUGGCGGCGUGCCUAAUACAUGCAAGUUGAGCGCUGAAGGUUGGUACUUGUACCAACUGGAUGAGCAGCGAACGGGUGAGUAACGCGUGGGGAAUCUGCCUUUGAGCGGGGGACAACAUUCGGAAACGAAUGCUAAUACCGCAUAAAAACUUUAAACACAAGUUUUAAGUUUGAAAGAUGCAAUUGCAUCACUCAAAGAUGAUCCCGCGUUGUAUUAGCUAGUUGGUGAGGUAAAGGCUCACCAAGGCGAUGAUACAUAGCCGACCUGAGAGGGUGAUCGGCCACAUUGGGACUGAGACACGGCCCAAACUCCUACGGGAGGCAGCAGUAGGGAAUCUUCGGCAAUGGACGAAAGUCUGACCGAGCAACGCCGCGUGAGUGAAGAAGGUUUUCGGAUCGUAAAACUCUGUUGGUAGAGAAGAACGUUGGUGAGAGUGGAAAGCUCAUCAAGUGACGGUAACUACCCAGAAAGGGACGGCUAACUACGU
RNAcentral lists this ribosomal RNA (496 nucleotides) under uncultured bacterium. RNAcentral's name for it is "partial 16S ribosomal RNA". It matches the Rfam family "Bacterial small subunit ribosomal RNA", at positions 28 to 506 of the family's 1533-position model. The record is from RNAcentral.